CCUGUGCUCGACUCAGAAUGGGUUUCCCCGCAAGGGGCGCAGAGACAGGUGCUGCAUGGCUGUCGUCAGCUCGUGUCGUGAGAUGUUGGGUUAAGUCCCGCAACGAGCGCAACCCUCGCCUUUAGUUGCCAUCAUUCAGUUGGGCACUCUAGAGGGACCGCCGGCGGCAAGCCGGAGGAAGGUGGGGAUGAAGUCAAGUCAUCAUGGCCCUUACACCCUGGGCUACACACGUGCUACAAUGGCGGUGACAGUGGGCAGCGAGCUCGCGAGAGUCAGCUAAUCCCAAAAAACCGUCCCAGUUCAGAUUGCACUCUGCAACUCGGGUGCAUGAAGGUGGAAUCGCUAGUAAUCGCAGAACAGCAGGCUGCGGUGAAUACGUUCCCGGGCCUUGUACACACCGCCCGUCACGGCAUGGGAGUUGGUUUUACCCGAAGACGGUGCGCUAACCGCAAGGAGGCAGCCGGCCACGGUAGGAUCAGCGACUGGGCCGAAGUCGUAACAAGGUAAGCGUAGUGCU
Molecule: ribosomal RNA, 517 nt
Filed under: uncultured bacterium
Lineage: Bacteria
Description: bacterial SSU rRNA
Rfam family: Bacterial small subunit ribosomal RNA
Source: RNAcentral